Molecule: ribosomal RNA, 279 nt
Filed under: uncultured bacterium
Lineage: Bacteria
Description: partial 16S ribosomal RNA
Rfam family: Bacterial small subunit ribosomal RNA
Source: RNAcentral
UGCCAGCAGCCGCGGUAAUACGGAGGGUGCAAGCGUUAUUCGGAUUUACUGGGCGUAAAGCGUGCGUAGGCGGUUAGACAAGUCUGAUGUGAAAUCCCGGGGCUCAACCCCGGACGUGCAUUGGAAACUGUUAGACUAGAGUACUGGAGAGGAGAGCGGAAUUCCUGGUGUAGAGGUGAAAUUCGUAGAUAUCAGGAGGAACACCCGAAGCGAAGGCGGCUCUCUGGACAGUUACUGACGCUAAGGUACGAAAGCGUGGGGAGCGAACGGGAUUAGAUC